GCCGGGCGUGGUGGUGCAUGCCUGUAAUCCCAGCUACUGGGGAGGCUGAGGCAGGAGAAUUGCUUGAGCCUGGGAGGCGAAGGUUGCAGUGAGCCAAGAUCGCACCACUGCACUCUAGCCUUGGCAACAGAGUGAGACUCUGUUUCAA
Molecule: non-coding RNA, 148 nt
Filed under: Gorilla gorilla gorilla (western lowland gorilla)
Lineage: Eukaryota; Metazoa; Chordata; Mammalia; Primates; Hominidae
Source: Rfam by way of RNAcentral